UUUUUUUUUUUUUUUUUGUAUUUUUUAGUAGAUGAUGGGGUUUCACUGUGUUGGCCAGGGUGGUCUCGACCUUCUGACCUCAUAAUCCACCCACCUCAGCCUCCCUAAGUGCUGGGAUUACAGGUGUGAGCCACCGCACCCAGCUAAUAUUUUCCAUACAAUUUUUUUUUCUGAGACAGGGUCUCACUCUGUCACCCAGGCUGGAGUGCAAUGGUGUGAUCUUGGCUCACUGCAACCUCUGCCUCCAGGCUCAAGUGAUCCACCUGCCUCAGUCUCCCAGAGGAUCUGGGACUACAGGCGUGAGCCACUCUGUCCAGGUAAUUUUCCUAUUUUUUUUUUUUUUUGUAGAGACAGGGUUUUGCCAUGUUGCCCUGGCUGGUCUAACUCCUGCACUCAAGUGACCCACCUGCCUUGGGCUCUCAAAGUGCUAGGAUUACAGGCACGAGCCAACACACUCAGCCCAUACAUCUUCUAUAUUUGUAUUUUCACUUCAUGUAAAUAAAGAUGCAUGCCAUGGUUAUUUGGCACACAAACAUGUAAAAAUAUGAUAUAUAUUCACCAACACUGUGGCAGGUUUCACAGUGUAAGAAUAUCAAAAUUGCACUUUCUAUGGGAUUUUCAUUAUAUCCAUAUAAAUAUUCUAAGGCAGAGUGUAGAGAGAAUAAUUCAAGUGCAGAGUAUGAUUACAGUUUCCCAAAAUUGUAUGUUGAUUCCACAAAGAAAAAAAAAUUGUUCUAGAUCCUCCAACCUAAAAGACUGAGUGUAUUGUUAUUAUCUGUUAUGAAGUAUCCUACUGAGGUAGGAUAAAACAGUGUUGGUACAAAGAAUGUGAUUUGCUCAUAGUUAUAAGAAAACGUUGAAUUUUUUUUGGCAAAACAUUAUGUCUGUGACACAUUCUUAAUAAAACUAUAGCAAAAUGUAAUUCCAGCAAUUAGUGUGAAUUCUACUAAAAAAAAACAAACCAAAACCAAAACAAAAAACACGGUAUUCUGGUUCUUCUGACCAAGCUCUCCAUUCCAAUAACUGUUAUCUCUUCGAUUUCAAAAAUAAGCCUAUUUUUCAUCAAUCUCUGCUAUAAAACAGCUAUUGCCAUUCAAUAGAGAAAGUGGCAACCAUUUCCCCUGCACUAUUCCUAUCACAUAUAACUAAUAACCUAUCACAUAUAUGUCACUAAUAACUUAUUACUCUCCUCUCAUAAAAAUUCCAGUGUCCUGAGGUCUUGGCCUACUCAAUGCAGGUAGAGCCUGACUUCCCUAAAACCCAUGGUGUCUCUCAGAAGAGCACCUUGAACACAAUCAGUAUGAUGAUUGAUAAUCAUAGUUUUACAUUAUUUUCUGCUCCUAAACCAUGGUCUCUCAAUUGAGAGAAGAUUUAACUUUAUAAGGCAGAGUCCUCCUCCUUCAAUAAACAUAGAUAAAAAUUAUCCUCAUGUAAUGAAGUAGGCCUUUCCAUACUGCGUUUCUUUCCCAGACAGGCACCAUGAAAGGUGCUUAAGGAUGCAAAAUAGCCACAGAUCCAUAGUUCAGGUUGAAAGUCACAAACAGUACUCUUUUUAAGAAACCUCAAACAAUGGAAGAUUUUAUAACCUGAAGGUAAGCAGCCAUUUCCAAAUGUCCUUCAACCUUUGAAAUAUAUAAUGUCUUAAGUUUUACCAUAUGGGGAUGUGUAAUUAUCGUGCAGUUUAUCAUAUUAAAAGUGAAUCAAAGAACUAGAGACUGAGUCACUCUUUGUAUGAAUCCUCACCUACAGUUACAGUCUUAGAGUAAGAGCUUCAGGAUACACAUUGCAUUUGUGUGGUUCCAUCAAAUAUGUAGACUUUAAUGCCUACAAAGCUGUGAGGCCUGAAUAAAGCCUCUGCCACACAC
RNAcentral lists this long non-coding RNA (1865 nucleotides) under Macaca fascicularis (crab-eating macaque). RNAcentral's name for it is "lncRNA (ENSMFAG00000064154.1)". The record is from RNAcentral. Lineage: Eukaryota; Metazoa; Chordata; Mammalia; Primates; Cercopithecidae.